Molecule: ribosomal RNA, 465 nt
Filed under: uncultured Sphingomonas sp.
Lineage: Bacteria; Pseudomonadati; Pseudomonadota; Alphaproteobacteria; Sphingomonadales; Sphingomonadaceae
Description: bacterial SSU rRNA
Rfam family: Bacterial small subunit ribosomal RNA
Source: RNAcentral
UUGAUCCUGGCUCAGAACGAACGCUGGCGGCAUGCCUAACACAUGCAAGUCGAACGAACCCUUCGGGGUUAGUGGCGCACGGGUGCGUAACGCGUGGGAAUCUGCCCUUUGCUUCGGAAUAACAGUGAGAAAUGACUGCUAAUACCGGAUGAUGUCUUGAGACCAAAGAUUUAUCGCCAAGGGAUGAGCCCGCGUAGGAUUAGGUAGUUGGUGGGGUAAAGGCCUACCAAGCCGACGAUCCUUAGCUGGUCUGAGAGGAUGAUCAGCCACACUGGGACUGAGACACGGCCCAGACUCCUACGGGAGGCAGCAGUGGGGAAUAUUGGACAAUGGGCGAAAGCCUGAUCCAGCAAUGCCGCGUGAGUGAUGAAGGCCUGAGGGUCGUAAAGCUCUUUUACCAGGGAUGAUAAUGACAGUACCUGGAGAAUAAGCUCCGGCUAACUCCGUGCCAGCAGCCGCGGUAAU